AAACCUACUUCCAUAAUACUUUGAGGAUUUUGUUGGCCCGGGUUUUGAGCCCGUGGCAUCCCAAAUCCGUAGCGAGCGGUGAACAACUACACUUUGAGAUCGAUGCCAGCAGCCGCAAUAAUUAAUCUCCAGUAGCGUAUACUAAAGUUGUUGCACUUAAAAAGCUCGUAUUUAGAUUUCUAUUUUGAAUGUCCGGUCCACUACCUCUGGGAGUGCGUACUAAUGAAUGUUUGAAAUAUUUUUUGUGAGGCUGCCUUCCUGCCAUUUAGUUGGUGGGUUGGUGGGCUUGCAUUCUUUACUGUGAAAAAAUUAGAGUAUUUAAAGCAGGCGUUUGUUCAUUUAAAUACAUUUGCAUGGAAUAAUAAGAUAAUUAUAUGAGGGUCUAUGUGUUGGUUGUACACAAGGUAAUGAUUAAUAGGGAUAGUUGGGGGUAUUCAUAUUUCAGCGUCAGAGGGAAAUUCUUAGAUCGCUGGAAGAUAAACUUAGGCGAAUACACUAACCAAGAAUGUUUUCAUUAAUUAACAUCGAAAGUUAGGUAAUCGAAGAUGAUUCAAUACCAUCGUAGCUCUAACCAUAAACUAUGCCGAUUACUAGGGAUUGAUUUUAGAUGACUUUGUCAGCACCGUAUGAGAAAUCCAAGUCUUUGAAUUCCGGGGGGAGUAUGGUCGUAAGACUGAAACUUAAAGGGAUUGACGGAAAGGCACCACCAGGAGUGGAGUCUGCGGCUUAAUUUGACUCAACACAAGAAAACCAGGUCCAGAGAGUGACAGAUUGAGAGCUCUUUUUUUGAUUUUAUGGUGGUGGUGCAUGGCCGUUCUUAGUUGGUGAAGUGAUUUGUCUGGUUAAUUCCGUUAACGAACGAGACCUCCGCGUGCUAACUAGUUCCGUUUACAAUUUUGGGAGGCGUGUGGACUUUUAGAUAGACUUUGGGUAAUUAAACCAAAGGAAGUUGAAUGCAAUAACAGGUCUAUGAUGCUCUUAAGAUGUUUUGGGACGCACGCGCGCUACACUGAUGCGUUCAACGAGCAUACAACCUUGAUCGAUAAGUCUGGGUAAUCUUCUGAAUGCGCAUCGUGAUAGGGAUAGACUGUUGCAAUUUUAAGUCUUGAACGAGGAAUUCUUAGUAAAUACAAGUCAUCAGCUUGUGUUGAUUACGUUCCUGCCCUGUGUACACACCGCCCGUCGCACCUACCGAUUGAAUGCUACGGUGAAAAUUAUAUGGCUACAAGGACGCUUGCUUCAUUGCGAGCGGACAUACUGGGGAAGGUAGUUUAAUCCUUGCCAUUUAGAGAAAGGUGAAGUCGUAACAAGGUUUUUUUGUAGGUGAACCUGUGGAAG
This 1338-nucleotide ribosomal RNA is filed under the name Peronospora tabacina. Its description in RNAcentral is "SSU rRNA". It matches the Rfam family "Eukaryotic small subunit ribosomal RNA", at positions 473 to 1823 of the family's 1831-position model. The record is from RNAcentral. Lineage: Eukaryota; Oomycota; Peronosporomycetes; Peronosporales; Peronosporaceae.